This is a non-coding RNA of Nicotiana tabacum (common tobacco), 3603 nucleotides long. The record is from RefSeq and is a predicted model, not a curated record. NCBI's taxonomy places the organism in Eukaryota, Viridiplantae, Streptophyta, Magnoliopsida, Solanales, Solanaceae.
AUUGGCAUCGCUCAUCUCUUUCUUUGCAAGCGACUCCAUUCCUCAUCUCUCUGUAUUUCCCGUGGGUGCUUUUCGUACGACAAAACUAAGCAAAGCCCCUCCUUUGGUAUUUCUACCUUGAAAUCAAUCAAUCGUCUAAAAACUCAAAAGAGAAAGGAAAAUAAUUAGAUCCAGAAAAUUUCUCUGCCGUCAGUCUCUCUUCCUCCUCUCUAUUCUUCACUUCAUUCCACUUUUUAGGGUUUUAUUCUAUUUCAAUCGUUAUGCACCGGGGAAGAUCUAUCCUUUCGUUGUUGUAAUAGGUGAAUUGUUGUGUUUGAUAUAACUAGUUGAGGAAGAGAUGGGUAGGGGUAGAGAUAAGGAUAUUUCAAGGUCUAGAUCGAGGUCGCCAGCACAUAGGAGGAGAUAUUCACGGUCACCCUCGCCUGUGGCACGCAGACAUAGCCGCAGAAGCCGGAGAGAUAGAAGCAGAUCACCUUAUUCCUAUAGCAGGUGAUACCCAUUUGCUUAAUUGAUAUAUGGAUUUGACUUAUAUGGAUUUUGCCCUUGUGUUAUAUCUCUGAUCUUUGUGUUUUUUUGUACUUGGAUUUGUUUUUUAUUAUUCUAAUAAAGCUCACGUUUUGCUGAUUCAAUUACAGUUUGUUCAGGUAUUGUCUACGUGUUUGAUUCUUGAAAAAGUAUUGGUAUUUAUCUACCGUUUGUUGGAUCGACUUGCGCGGUUGCUCAAAAAUGAAUUUAGGACUUCAUAGUGACAGCAUUGGUCUAAGCUGUGGCAGGAUUGAUGAUUGAUCAUUUUUGCUUGUAUCUUAAAGACUUUAAGAGGAACUUCUAGUGAUUGGUGUAUUCGCAUACCGCAAAGUUGUCCAUCUACUAUUUGGUCAUGGAUCAAAUUCCAAAUGUUAAUCAUUGUUUCGAUAAAAUGCCUUUAUUCUUCAUUUCAUAUAUUCGAUUCCCUUCAUUGGAUAUCUAGCUCUGUUCCCAAGCAGGGAGAUAGGGGGGUGCGGACUUGUUUCGUACUUCUGUUGCCAAUAUCAGCUUCAUUUUUGUUCAGAUUGAUAUUUUCUCAUCAAAGUCCACUAGCCUUCUAUUAUAUGAGUUACCAGAUGUGUACGAAAACGUUAUGUCCUUGUCAAAUUGAACUGUUACUGCUACUAAAAGUUUUCAAUACCUGUAAUCACAAUAGUUGAUAUCCUUGUGGUUGUCUUUGUAUUAUCUCAUAUCCUAAUCUGGUGAUGUCGCUGUUCAGUUGCAAAUUUAGUCCUCGGUCAGGCGGCCAUUUGGAAAUUGUCUACUAUUCUGAAGAUGUGCAUGAUCCUAAUGAGUAGAGUUAAUAAAUAGAAACCUAAAUGAAAUAUCCGGUGCAAACUAUGCUCUUCAAUGAGGAAUUAAAAGAAGUAAUUGCUUCCCUUCAUGGGAGGCAAGCAGGUCAUGGGUGCCGAUGAGUGUCCAUUGGUUGCUCAAUUGUGAUAUUAGCAGUUCCCUAUGAUAAAAGACGGAGCUCGAGUUUAUUCUUUGCAAUUCAUGAGGUAACUGUACAUGCUUUAGUAUCUAACUGAUUUGGAAGAUGGGUUAGUAUAUCUGUGGGUUUCUAUGUGUUCUGCUGCCUAUAUAUAUUGUUGCUUAAAUGUUAAUCAUUGUUAUACAGGAGACGAAGCCGUUCACUGUCCCCAAGGCGCCGCAAAAGUCGUUCUCCAGCCACCAGACGACAUAAAAGUCGCUCUCCAAGGAACUAUAGGAGACAAAGAAGUAGGAGUAUAUCAUUGUCUCCUAUUGGUAAAUCACCUGCUUCAAGUAUUGGAUCGAAAGAGCAAAAGGAUGUCAGUGAAAAAAUUAGAAUUGAGGAAGAGGAGAAGAAAAGGUAUAACUGUAUACGUAAUCUUUUCAUUUUCUGCCCUUUCUAUCUCUUUCUUAUCUAGGAGCAAGCUAUGCUUUUACUUUGAGAAUCUACCCCUAGUUUUAAAGUUCUUUGAUACACUUUCAACUUUGAAUCAUACACCUCUAGUUUCUGUACUGUUUUCCUGAAACUAAUCAUGAAUAAAUGGACAAUUUGUUUUGAAAUGCUGACCGGAAGGACACUGAUCCUUUAGUUUUCGACAAUGAUCCUUAAAUGCUUACAGUGUGGACAUUGGAUGUUUUUUCUGAUUAGACCUGAUGGAUUGACCUUUAGACGUCUACGACUCAGAAUGUCAUUCAGGUCCAUAAUUGAAAGAUUUUGUUAAGGGCCUGCUAAUAAGGUAGAAGUAGGAUUGGGUUGUGGAAUGUAUUAACUCCUGCUGUUUAAGAUGAGAGGAUUUUUGUUGUUAUUGAAAGCUCAGCUCUAAAAUAAAUUGUCUUGGAGUCUUGAGUAGUAGAUAUUUGUGGAAUGUGGUCUAAUAUGAAUUCUUGUUGUGUUAAUUGUGUAUCUACUGUUUAAUGUAGCAAGAUAGUUUAAAGCUUUUAUGCUUUACAUUUAUUAACUUCCCUAUCCAUCUAAUUCACCAUAAAGACAGUAACAUUCCUCCUGGAGUGGAGAGUUUUCAUGAAUCAAUAUCCCCAGAAGGUGAAGAUAUAAAAAUAAGUACUGCUUGUGGGAGCUCUUUAGCUAUGCUUGCUGAUCUGGGUUUCAUUACACUCUUCUUCUUGCCUUUUUAUAUCUCAUAAUAGGGGGAUGGCUCUAGUAUUGAUGAAGUUGAAUCUUUCUAUGUUGCAAGUGGAUUGCAAAUUGCUAUAGUACAUGUUAUAAGGCAACAUAAAUGCAAAGAAUGCAGCUGGAUCACCAUGAAGCAAAACCAACAUACAGCAAAGAGUGCUGCAUGUAAUAAGUUCUGCUUUUAAUUGGUUCCGCUGUUGCUAACUAUUUAUGACUGAUAAAGAAAGAGAGAAGGCAACCUUGACAUCCUUAUAAAAAAAAAAAGGCAACCUUGACAUCUUGAUCUUUGUUCUGUUAUUCUGCCUUGCUGCUGGUCUUCGCUGUCCUUUAUUACAUCCACAGCUGUGAUUACUGCAAGGCUAAAUGUGAUGCUACGUGUAUUUUGCUAAAACAUGAUAUUUUCAUACCUAGCCUUACAAAGUUAAUAGACAGGCAUAAUCAUGAAUGUACACGGUAAUAAGAAACAUUUGACAAGAUUUGCUUCGGUCAUUCUUAGUCUAAAUGGAUGAUAGUACAUAGCUAUUUGCUUCAAACCUCUUGUGGAUUUCUCAGGCUUCUUUCUCUAUCUGUUUCUGACUAUUUAAGCUGACAUGUCGACAAUUUGGGUCAUCUACUUGAGAAGUGGAAACUUUUCCUUUCACAAUUCUACUUUUGCCGUAAGGCUUCAUGAAUUUGGUGAUUAGCUUUGUAACUGUCACAGGUUAUUUGACAUUCUUCUCCACAGGCUUAUUUGAAGGAAGUUACUGCUAUAGUUCAACUUAUUAAUUUUGAUGAUCAAUUGGGUGCCUCGUUUAUCUACUGUUCACCAGUUUUGAUUCUCAUUUGUUUGGACAGAAUUCAGGUAGAGGCGUCAAGAGGAAGCAGAAUUGAAAUUAAUAGAAGAAGAAACUGCAAAAAGAGUUGAAGAAGCAAUUAAGAGAAAAGUUGAUGAUAGCUUGAACACGGAGGAGAUCAAGCUUGAAAUCCGUAGGCGAUUA